AAAGAAUUAGUUAAAUUAAAAUAAUAGUAUGUCAUACUAAAGUAAUUAGUAUUAUAAACUAAUAUUCUUUU
This 71-nucleotide transfer RNA is filed under the name Fenusa (Kaliofenusa) sp. 1 GYN-2022b. RNAcentral's name for it is "tRNA-Asp". The record is from RNAcentral. Lineage: Eukaryota; Metazoa; Arthropoda; Insecta; Hymenoptera; Tenthredinidae.